Molecule: ribosomal RNA, 253 nt
Filed under: uncultured bacterium
Lineage: Bacteria
Description: partial 16S ribosomal RNA
Rfam family: Bacterial small subunit ribosomal RNA
Source: RNAcentral
GACGAACCGCCCGAACGUUGUUCGGAAUCACUGGGCGUAAAGCGCACGUAGGCGGAUUGUUAAGUCAGAGGUGAAAUCCCGGAGCUCAACUUCGGAACUGCCUUUGAUACUGGCAAUCUCGAGUCCGGAAGAGGUUAGUGGAAUUCCCAGUGUAGAGGUGAAAUUCGUAGAUAUUGGGAAGAACACCAGUGGCGAAGGCGGCUAACUGGUCCGGUACUGACGCUGAGGUGCGAAAGCGUGGGGAGCAAACAGG